GGGGCUAUAGCUCAGCUGGCAGAGCGCCUGCAUGGCAUGCAGGAGGUCACCGGUUCGAACCCGGUUAGCUCCACCA
RNAcentral lists this transfer RNA (76 nucleotides) under bacterium. Its description in RNAcentral is "tRNA-Ala". It matches the Rfam family "tRNA". Rfam says of the family: Transfer RNA (tRNA) molecules are approximately 80 nucleotides in length. Their secondary structure includes four short double-helical elements and three loops (D, anti-codon, and T loops). Further hydrogen bonds mediate the characteristic L-shaped molecular structure. tRNAs have two regions of fundamental functional importance: the anti-codon, which is responsible for specific mRNA codon recognition, and the 3' end, to which the tRNAs corresponding amino acid is attached (by aminoacyl-tRNA synthetases). tRNAs cope with the degeneracy of the genetic code in two manners: having more than one tRNA (with a specific anti-codon) for a particular amino acid; and 'wobble' base-pairing, i.e. permitting non-standard base-pairing at the 3rd anti-codon position. The record is from RNAcentral.